This 84-nucleotide microRNA precursor is filed under the name Bombyx mori (domestic silkworm). Its description in RNAcentral is "mir-2807 microRNA precursor family". It matches the Rfam family "mir-2807 microRNA precursor family". Lineage: Eukaryota; Metazoa; Arthropoda; Insecta; Lepidoptera; Bombycidae. The record is from Rfam by way of RNAcentral.
UUAACUCAAAUUUGUAUGGAGUUGGAACGUUUGCCUACGUUUGCCUCUAGGGGCGCUGUUCGAAUGGCAUAGAAAUUUAAGUUA